RNAcentral lists this ribosomal RNA (132 nucleotides) under Micromonospora mirobrigensis. Its description in RNAcentral is "23S rRNA. Bacterial LSU". It matches the Rfam family "Bacterial large subunit ribosomal RNA", at positions 2797 to 2925 of the family's 2925-position model. The record is from RNAcentral. Lineage: Bacteria; Bacillati; Actinomycetota; Actinomycetes; Micromonosporales; Micromonosporaceae.
CUUCAAGAUGAGGUAUCCCACCCACCUUGGUGGGGUAAGGCCCCCAGCUAGACGACUGGGUUGAUAGGCCGGAACUGUAAGCCCGGUAACGGGUUCAGGUGACCGGUACUAAUAGGCCGAGGACUUGACUAC